Molecule: long non-coding RNA, 426 nt
Filed under: Gossypium barbadense (sea-island cotton)
Lineage: Eukaryota; Viridiplantae; Streptophyta; Magnoliopsida; Malvales; Malvaceae
Description: long non-coding RNA (GBAR_LNC020491)
Source: RNAcentral
CAUGCAGAGUCUGGAUUCUCCAAAAAGGUGCCAUCGCAAUUCAGCUUUGCCCAACCAAACUAGAGGAGCCCAGUGAAGCGUAAUGGCAUAAAACUCAAGCAGCGUAAAUGCGGUACUAUUCAAAUUGUUUCAAGGUUUAUUUUGUCAUCUAGUGAAAAAACAAAUGGAGAAAAGACAAGACAGGUUGCGGUACUAUUCAAAUUGGCAGUGUGAUAUUAUACACAGGAAAAAUCCCUCGACCAGCUCAUAAUUAUUUUAAGUUUUUUUAAUUUUACAAAUUUUCACAAAUUUGAUAUAUAUCAACCUUACUUGUAAAAUUUUUAAAAUCUAUUGACACUUGUAUUUCCCUUAACUAAAUGAUAGUUUAUUUUUAUUGAAACGAAGCGGAAAUUUAAUUUAAGCCAAAAUAAAAAUCUUAUGAAGUCA